RNAcentral lists this ribosomal RNA (501 nucleotides) under uncultured bacterium. RNAcentral's name for it is "bacterial SSU rRNA". It matches the Rfam family "Bacterial small subunit ribosomal RNA", at positions 28 to 524 of the family's 1533-position model. The record is from RNAcentral.
GAUGAACGCUAGCGGCAGGCUUAAUACAUGCAAGUCGUACGGGAUCCGAGGUAGCAAUACUUUGGUGAGAGUGGCGCACGGGUGCGUAACACGUAUGCAACCUACCUAUAACCGGGACACAACCUCGAGAAAUUGAGGCUAAUAUCCCAUAACACUGCGAGAUGGCAUCAUUUUGCAGUUAAAACUCCGGUGGUUAUAGAUGGGCAUGCGCGACAUUAGCUAGUUGGUGAGGUAACGGCCCACCAAGGCUACGAUGUCUAGGGGUUCUGAGAGGAUUAUCCCCCACACUGGUACUGAGACACGGACCAGACUCCUACGGGAGGCAGCAGUAAGGAAUAUUGGUCAAUGGGCGCAAGCCUGAACCAGCCAUGCCGCGUGAAGGAUGACGGCCCUAUGGGUUGUAAACUUCUUUGUACGGGAAAAAACCUCUGGUCGUGAAUCAGAGCUGAUGGUACCGUAAGAAUAAGCACCGGCUAACUCCGUGCCAGCAGCCGCGGUAAU